UCGAACGCUGAAGCUGGGUGCUUGCACCUGGUGGAUGAGUGGCGAACGGGUGAGUAAUACGUGAGUGACCUUCCUUGGACUCUGGGAUAAGCCCGGGAAACUGGGUCUAAUACCGGAUACGACCAGUCCUCGCAUGGGGUGCUGGUGGAAAGGGUUUGUACUGGUUCUUGAUGGGCUCACGUCCUAUCAGCUUGUUGGUGAGGUAAUGGCUUACCAAGGCGACGACGGGUAGCCGGCCUGAGAGGGUGACCGGCCACACUGGGACUGAGACACGGCCCAGACUCCUACGGGAGGCAGCAGUGGGGAAUAUUGCACAAUGGGCGCAAGCCUGAUGCAGCGACGCCGCGUGGGGGAUGACGGCCUUCGGGUUGUAAACCUCUUUCAGCAGGGAAGAAGCGAAAGUGACGGUACCUGCAGAAGAAGCGCCGGCUAACUACGUGCCAGCAGCCGCGGUAAUACGUAGGGCGCAAGCGUUGUCCGGAAUUAUUGGGCGUAAAGAGCUCGUAGGCGGUUUGUCGCGUCUGCUGUGAAAGCCCGGGGCUCAACCCCGGGUGUGCAGUGGGUACGGGCAGGCUGGAGUGCAGUAGGGGAGACUGGAAUUCCUGGUGUAGCGGUGAAAUGCGCAGAUAUCAGGAGGAACACCGAUGGCGAAGGCAGGUCUCUGGGCUGUUACUGACGCUGAGGAGCGAAAGCAUGGGGAGCGAACAGGAUUAGAUACCCUGGUAGUCCAUGCCGUAAACGUUGGGCACUAGGUGUGGGGG
Molecule: ribosomal RNA, 761 nt
Filed under: bacterium SK114
Lineage: Bacteria
Description: bacterial SSU rRNA
Rfam family: Bacterial small subunit ribosomal RNA
Source: RNAcentral